Molecule: microRNA precursor, 110 nt
Organism: Gallus gallus (chicken)
Lineage: Eukaryota; Metazoa; Chordata; Aves; Galliformes; Phasianidae
Source: Ensembl
CUUUCACUGGAACAGGGCAGCUAGGAGGAGAAAUGGAGUGGGCUGAGUUUUCUCUCUGUCUCUCUGCUUCUCCAGUAUCACAGCAAAGUGUCAUGUUUCAUGCUGCAACA